This 629-nucleotide ribosomal RNA is filed under the name uncultured Veillonella sp. RNAcentral's name for it is "bacterial SSU rRNA". It matches the Rfam family "Bacterial small subunit ribosomal RNA", at positions 28 to 627 of the family's 1533-position model. The record is from RNAcentral. Lineage: Bacteria; Bacillati; Bacillota; Negativicutes; Veillonellales; Veillonellaceae.
GACGAACGCUGGCGGCGUGCUUAGCACAUGCAAGUCGAACGAAGAGCGAUGGAAGCUUGCUUCUAUCAAUCUUAGUGGCGAACGGGUGAGUAACGCGUAAUCAACCUGCCCUUCAGAGGGGGACAACAGUUGGAAACGACUGCUAAUACCGCAUACGAUCUAACCUCGGCAUCGAGGAAAGAUGAAAGGUGGCCUCUAUGUAUAAGCUAUCACUGAAGGAGGGGAUUGCGUCUGAUUAGCUAGUUGGAGGGGUAACGGCCCACCAAGGCGAUGAUCAGUAGCCGGUCUGAGAGGAUGAACGGCCACAUUGGGACUGAGACACGGCCCAGACUCCUACGGGAGGCAGCAGUGGGGAAUCUUCCGCAAUGGACGAAAGUCUGACGGAGCAACGCCGCGUGAGUGAUGACGGCCUUCGGGUUGUAAAGCUCUGUUAAUCGGGACGAAAGGCCUUCUUGCGAAUAGUUAGAAGGAUUGACGGUACCGGAAUAGAAAGCCACGGCUAACUACGUGCCAGCAGCCGCGGUAAUACGUAGGUGGCAAGCGUUGUCCGGAAUUAUUGGGCGUAAAGCGCGCGCAGGCGGAUCAGUCAGUCUGUCUNUAAAGUUCGGGGCUUAACCCCGUGAUGGGAU